UACGUAGGGUGCGAGCGUUGUCCGGAAUUACUGGGCGUAAAGAGCUCGUAGGUGGUUUGUCGCGUUGUUCGUGAAAACCCGAGGCUUAACCUCGGGCCUGCAUUCGAUACGGGCUGACUAGAGUUCGGUAGGGGAGACUGGAAUUCCAGGUGUAGCGGUGAAAUGCGUAGAUAUCUGGAGGAACACCGGUGGCGAAGGCGGCAUCCUGGACCGACACUGACGCUGAGGAGCGAAAGCCAGGGGAGCAAACGGG
This 253-nucleotide ribosomal RNA is filed under the name uncultured bacterium. Its description in RNAcentral is "partial 16S ribosomal RNA". It matches the Rfam family "Bacterial small subunit ribosomal RNA", at positions 524 to 776 of the family's 1533-position model. The record is from RNAcentral.